Pelobates cultripes (western spadefoot toad) is the source of this 348-nucleotide non-coding RNA. The record is from the annotation of a GenBank genome assembly. Lineage: Eukaryota; Metazoa; Chordata; Amphibia; Anura; Pelobatidae.
CUCAGAUAACAUGCUUUCUUAGGAAGGAAGUGCUACCACAUUGGACAAACAGAGAUUUUACCCCUUUUGAACAGCUAUCUUAUCCUCUGAAACAACUAGCUAGUUUCUAAAUGAUAUUCUUUAUUUUAAGAGGGUCUCCCGGAUGUGGAGUUGUCCCCUUCCAAAAAUCUUGGGCAUCAGGGUUACUUAAUCAACUGACUGAAAAAGAUUGGUCAGAUAUUCUUCAGAAUGCUAUGCGUACAUCGAUAAGCCAGGGUGAAAGAGGAUCUUUUGACAAACAAGUCACUAGAGCAAGCAUGUCAAACUGAAAGGCUAAGACGGGCCAAAUAAACAAGGUUUACGUUUAUG